Molecule: long non-coding RNA, 1452 nt
Organism: Hydractinia symbiolongicarpus
Lineage: Eukaryota; Metazoa; Cnidaria; Hydrozoa; Anthoathecata; Hydractiniidae
Exons: 2
Source: RefSeq, a predicted model, not a curated record
CUUCAUACUUUGAUUUCUUUAGGAUCUAAGUUAUUGGGUUCUAUGUUGCUCAUUUGUAAAUUCCCUAACUUCUGAAUACUAUGUUAGACAAAUUACUGAUUUUGCCUCUGCUGAAAUAAUUAAACUUUAGGCACCCAAAAAUUAAUAUUGCACAUUUCGCAUAUAUUCUGCAAAUUGAAGCAUUUUUGUGUACAACUCACCCACAAAAAUAAGUUUCAGGAAAAUUUAUUGUGCAAAUAAUUUGUACCCUUGGCAAGUUUAGGCUCUUACAACAAGUUUGAAUGCAUAUUGAAAUUGAAAAAAAAAAAAGUUAUAAAGGUAUUGCUUAUAGCCUGGAAAAGAUUUGAGGUGGGUGUUUAUACUUCUUAUGCUUCAUAUUUCCAAACUUUGUUAAAAAAUUCCUAAGUUUUGCUAAAAACAAUACUACACUCAGGUUUUUUACCCAAAAAUAAUUCAACAUAUCCGGCCUAUAUAUCCUGCAAUAUAGGAUUCCUGCUAAACCCACCUUUAUUUGUAGGUUAAAACACUAAUCCAGUGGUGAAGUAAUAAUAGACUAGAGUAAAUAUGGUAUUCUUGGUCACUGUUGAAUAUAACAUUUUAGGGAUGCUUUUAGGCAAGUUUAGGAACUUUCAAAAAAAUUAAAUAUUUAUAAAACUUCCAAAAUUUGUCUUUGAACACGUAGGUAUUCUUUUUGGAAAGACAGACAUCACAAAUACUUGGCGUUUCACAGUAUCACCUGAUUUUUUUAUCAAAACUUCAUAAAAUGGUCAGCCAUAAUCUAACACAGCCAUUAUCAGCAUUUCCAAAAAAAUGUUGACAGAGUAAACUGCAAACAUUAAUUUGUGAAAAAUGAAUCACUAAAACUAAUAUAUAUUUAUAUAAUUUAUUAUAGUCUUAUUUUGGUUAAUAGUAUUUACUUCACAUUAUUUUUAAGGGAAACUAGACGUCUAUGGUUCUUCUAUGAUUUUACAGAAUUUGUAUCAUGAAAAUUUUUAGAACUUUCUAGGUAGAUCCCAAGUUUUUAUACUUUUUAUAACUGUGUGUAAAUCUGUAUAUUUUUGUUAUUUAUUCAGGUGUAAUUAAAUUGAAGUAUAUCUAAAUUGCGUUAUUUGUCGCCCAUAUUUAAUACUUUUCAGACCAGGUUACUUUAACCCCUUUUUUAUAUAAGAACAAUGUUAUAAGAACAUGAACCUUAGACUCACAAUCCCAGACUCAAAUCAUUGUUUUUACAACUAAAACUACUCAAGAAAUGGAAUAGUCAAAAAGCCUCAAAAAGCGGUUAAGUCACAUAGUUUUGCGCAAUUAUUCAAUCAUUUAUCCUGUUUUUAAAUUGGAAAUCUCAGCCUUGGGUCGACCAUUGGACGUUUUGCUCUGUGGAAAGUUUCUCUUGACAAGGCGGAAAUCUUCAAGCCUUGAGGCUUCUUGUUAAAUUUUGUUUUUUGUUUUUAACAA